CAUCUGCCAUGAUAGCUCAGUCGGGAGAGCGUUAGACUGAAGAUCUAAAUGUCCCCGGUUCGAUCCCGGGUCGUGGCAU
RNAcentral lists this transfer RNA (79 nucleotides) under Meloidogyne enterolobii. Its description in RNAcentral is "tRNA-Phe". It matches the Rfam family "tRNA". From Rfam's summary of the family: Transfer RNA (tRNA) molecules are approximately 80 nucleotides in length. Lineage: Eukaryota; Metazoa; Nematoda; Chromadorea; Rhabditida; Meloidogynidae. The record is from RNAcentral.